AUUGAACGCUGGCGGAAUGCUUUACACAUGCAAGUCGAACGGCAGCACGGGGGCAACCCUGGUGGCGAGUGGCGAACGGGUGAGUAAUACAUCGGAACGUGCCCAGUCGUGGGGGAUAACGUAGCGAAAGCUACGCUAAUACCGCAUACGAUCUGUGGAUGAAAGCGGGGGACCUGUAAGGGCCUCGCGCGAUUGGAGCGGCCGAUGGCAGAUUAGGUAGUUGGGGGGUAAAGGCUCACCAAGCCGACGAUCUGUAGCUGGUCUGAGAGGACGACCAGCCACACUGGGACUGAGACACGGCCCAGACUCCUACGGGAGGCAGCAGUGGGGAAUUUUGGACAAUGGGCGCAAGCCUGAUCCAGCCAUUCCGCGUGC
Molecule: ribosomal RNA, 375 nt
Filed under: uncultured bacterium
Lineage: Bacteria
Description: bacterial SSU rRNA
Rfam family: Bacterial small subunit ribosomal RNA
Source: RNAcentral